This is a long non-coding RNA of Equus caballus (horse), 2616 nucleotides long. The record is from Ensembl. NCBI's taxonomy places the organism in Eukaryota, Metazoa, Chordata, Mammalia, Perissodactyla, Equidae.
CCAAGCCUUUCUUGAAGCUAGCUAUGAACACAUGACUAGACACUGGUUAAUAAGAUUGAGGUGAGGUAUAAGUUUCAGGUUAUUCCCUUGAAAGUAUAAUCUUCCCUUUCUCCCCUCGUUUCAUACACUAAGUAUUUUGAACUCACUGAGGAGCCCAAUGUAGCAUGCUGGCUCCAUAAUGACACUUGAGCCUAAUGCUGUUAAGCAAAACCUAGUCCUGUGAUUGAGUCAGCCAAUCACCAGAUCCCAGGACUGUCCACGAGUGUGCUUUACCCCUUCACUCACUCCACCUUUCUCGCACCAUGUCCUAAAGUCAAAUACCUGAAGACCUGGUGUAUUUGGGGACAUAGAAUUAGAUAUAACCAUGCAGAAUAGAGAGGUAAUCCUAGAAUAGAAAAAGCAAAAGCUUCAAAUUGACAAGUAGAAGAUAACUGGAGAGUGUCGAUCAAACAACUGUGUCUCAGGUUCUGCUUACAGGGAAAUGAUCAAAAGCUCUUGCACCAGUGGUUUACCUGGGAACACGAUCAUAGGGAAGUCUAAGGAUAGAGACAGAGGCCGGUAGAAGGCUACAUUAAGUUAGCCACCAGUACCAGCAGAAUUGCUGGUCACUCCUUCAGCAGAACUACCCAAAAGAAGCCUUAAAAAGUCUCUCAGGUCUUAGGGGAAGACAAAGAGGUGCACCUAUCCAUUGGCUCCCAGCUCCCAUCUGUCACGAUUUGCCUCCAUCUGCUAACUACCCCACACUACUAGGUUACUAGGCAGGAAUGCCCAGUGGAUUCCCAAGAUUAUCCCAUACCUCCAAGAUAGAAAAAAUCCUGGGGCAAAAAUUGGGAGGUAGCUGGUAUGAGACUGAGUUGAGGCAGAGGGCAUUUGAAAUGGCACACGAAAGGAGUCAAUACAAGUACUAAUCAAGCAGUGAAAAAAAACCUGAGUAAAGCAAGAUAAGACCAAAAGCAUUAAGCUGUGACCAGGAUGAUACCUGAUUUUUAAAAAUAAUCCAAGUCCAUGUUUAAGUUUGAAGUGAAUUCCUAGAAACCACUUCCUUGAAAGAGAUAUUAGACAUGAAGUUUAAAGAAUGAUUCACUAGGUCAAUAUGGUAGAUACACAACUUCACACCUCACAAAGAUGCGUUCUUAUCUCCACAUAUUGAUGAAGCCCUUGAGUGAGCACCUUUGAACAUCCCUUUGCGAGCACAGUGUGGACACUGGAAUUAAGUUGAAUGGCAUUGUCUUAUUUUCUGCAGAUUUUUGAUCUUCACUUCUGCUUGUACAAGGCCUGAAACUUCCAUUCUGAAUCUCAUAGCCAACAUUGGCUUUGCCCUUUGAUGUCACCCUUGCUUUUGACUGCAUUAUUUGGACCCACUGCCUCUUCAACUGGCCCCCAGCACCUGCCCAGCUUCAGUAAGGAUUCUCCUUGCUCCCAGCAUGGUUGUUGGAGCCUGGAUGCCUUUUGAGUUUUAGUUCCCGUUGACAUCAAUAUUCAGCUGUGGAGGCAAUAGGGGCUUCCAACAGUGGACUGAGGAACUUAGCUUCACCCAGUCAUUACCUUACACUCCCCAAAUAAGCUGUUUUAGGAGCAGUAGGCUGAAUGUUUCCUAAUGAUACAGGCUCCAAAAUCCAGGUUCUCCUCCCUCAAUGAUGGCAAUUAUGAUAAGCUACGAAAACAAGGAGUGCAGAAGGUGGUGAGACCUUCUAUUCAGGGAAAGAACCUUGGGAUAGUCCCCCGGACCAGUUCCAAAUAAUCUCGGAAUGAGACUUGUGCUUUGUUGAGUUCAUCCCACCCCCAAGGUGAGACCUAUUCUCAUGGUAGUAGGAAUUCAUUAAAGUGGAAGCCACACAACUAUUUCCGAGACAUGAAUAUCUGCUGAAACUGUUUUAUUGCCUUUGGGCAUAGGGUUAUGCUUCGGGAUCUGUUAAACUCAUUUUAAGAUCUUAAGAGCCCCUUAUGUUCACCUUCCUAGAAGUACAAUGCACACUGCUCCUCUAUUCCAUCCCACAAUCCCAGAGCAUAGUUCUGCUCCAAGUUAGACUAUUCUAUGAGUGUAGUACAUUCCACUGCUUUGCCAACACACACCAACCAACCAUGAUUACAAUAGUGCCCAGUUAGAGUUCUGCCUAGGACAUUUAGAGUUUGACAGUAACUAUCACCUUUCAAGUAGUUCAAGUGCUCACAUGAGCAGUAACAAUAGCAAUGAGCUUCUACCUAUGUUUGAGACCAGGGCCAACUACCCUUCCAAGAAGUUGGAUGACAUAUCUUGUACCACUUCCAUCCCUCAGAGAAUCUGAUUGGCCUCGACUCUAAGCAUAAAGCCCUCAAUUUAUGUUCUUACCACAUUUGCCCCCACAGGCUCAAGAUUGACUGCGUGCUGUACACAGGGUUCCCAGCAAUGGGGAUAGGUGUGGUGUCAGUGGGGAGUGAUCCAUAACAUUCACACCAGGAAGUGUUCAUGGGUCUCUUGCUUACCUUGAAGGUUGUAGCAGAAGCUGUUAGUACUCUACUAAGAGAUCCUCUUAGAUCUCUGCCGUUUUGCUUGCUUGUGGGGGAGCUGCCUUUGGACUGCAGAAAACCUGCUUUGCUAGUGUGCUAAGCCAGCCCAAAGUGCCUGGGAACCUUACA